CCUAUAGGACACCCAUCCCGCCCCAUAGAGCCCCAUAGAACCCCAUAGGACACCCAUCCCGCCCCAUAGGACCCCAUUCCGCCCCAUAGAGCCCCAUAGAACCCCAUAGGACACCCAUCCCGCCCCAUAGACCCCCAUAGAACCCCAUAUGACACCCAUUAUGACCCAUAGGACACCCAUUGCGCCCCAUAGAGCCCCAUAGAACCCCAUAGGACACCCAUUCCGCCCCAUAGGACACCCAUCCCGCCCCAUAGACCCCCAUAGAACCCCAUAGGACACCCGUUCCGCCCCAUAGAGCCCCAUAGAACCCCAUAGGACACCCAUUCCGUCCCAUACGACCCCAUUCCGCCCCAUACAGCCCCAUUAGGCCCCAUAGAACCCCCAUCCCGCCCCAUAGGUCACCCAUCCCGCCCCAUAGAGCCCCAUAGAACCCCAUAGGACACCCGUUCCGCCCCAUAGGACACCCAUCCCGCCCCAUAGAGCCACAUUAGGCCCCAUAGGACAACCAUUAGGCCCCAUAGAGCCCCAUUCCGCCCCAUAGAGCCCCAUUAGGCCCCAUAGAACCCCCAUCCCGCCCCAUAGGUCACCCAUCCUGCCCCAUAGGACCCCAUUCUGCCCCAUAGAACCCCCAUCCCGCCCCAUAG
This 644-nucleotide long non-coding RNA is filed under the name Gallus gallus (chicken). RNAcentral describes it as "lncRNA (ENSGALG00010003721.1)". The record is from RNAcentral. Lineage: Eukaryota; Metazoa; Chordata; Aves; Galliformes; Phasianidae.